Stegostoma tigrinum is the source of this 1658-nucleotide long non-coding RNA. RefSeq lists it as uncharacterized. The transcript has 3 exons. NCBI's taxonomy places the organism in Eukaryota, Metazoa, Chordata, Chondrichthyes, Orectolobiformes, Stegostomatidae. The record is from RefSeq and is a predicted model, not a curated record.
CCCUGUUUUGAGGGAAGGAGGCUGACUAACUUAUGCCUACACACUGGGAAUUUCUGAUCUUCUCCAGUACAUUGCACUGCAAUUUCUCCGCACAGUAACCAGCAACUUGAGCUGUCCCAGCCCCCUUGAUCAGCUCCUGACGGAUGUGACUUGUGCUUCCAGCUCUUGUGUGACGCAGCAACGUAUUAGUACUUGCCUUUUAGUCCGUCCUAUUGCGUUUCUCUUUUCUUUCCACCCCCAUUGCUUCUUUGGGAAGUCCACUCCAGUAAAAGACCAGCCUGAGGUCAAGGAAUACAACCCAAGCACAGAAAACCAAAGGAAGUCAAGUUCUCGAACCAUUAAAAGGACUGAAGUAGUCUGCGGAGAACCAUGCGAGGAAAAGGGAUCAAGGAUAAACCGAGGAAUUGACUUAGAAAGCAUCAAUCCAAUAAUUAAGGAGGCCAUAUUGUGAAAAGACGGGAAGACUGUGCCAGUGGGGCGUUUUAUCCCAAUGUUGGAUAAAACUUGAAUACUCCAAGUAGUCUUUGAAUCUGAUGGAGGAAACGUAAUGCCAGGCACCCUUCGGCUGUAAGAGGAGCUGAGACCAUUGAUUUUCACUAUUUGUUACAAUGGUUUAUUCUAGUUAUUGGGAAUGACACUGUGUGAGACACCCUCCAGUUCAGUGUAAAUUUAAAUAUUUGGGUCCCCAGAAGUACUACACUUUCCCCCUUUUUUUGUUUAGUCAUUUAUUUUCCCUCUUUCCCACGCACCCCCCCCCCCAUGAUAUUUAAUCUAGUCAUUCUUGUUCACUUUGGAAUCUCCACUGUGUAAAAAUCCAUGUGUUAUCCAGGAAGGCUGAGUGUAUUCACCUCCUGAAUUUGAUCAUGUAUCUGCAUGAGUGCACGCCUGAGGGUGAGCACCUUCAUCUUAUUUCCGUGUGGGUUGAGUUUUCUUUUUGAUUCUUUCUUUGUUUUUUUUUUCUUAUUUUGUGGAAUGUGGGUGUCCCUGUCUGGCCAGCGUUUCUUGCCCACCCUGACUUGCCCUUGAGAAGGUGGUGGUGAGCUGCCUUCAUGAACUGCUGCCACCUUCCUGCUGUGGGUUGACCCACGGUGCUAUGAGGGAGGGAAUGCCAGGAUUUUGACGCAGUGACUGUUCCUUCACUAUGGUAUGUUUCCAAGUCAGGAUGGUGAUUGCCUUGGAGGGGAACUUGGAGAUGGUGGUGUUCACUUAUGUCUAAUGCCCUUCUCCUUUUUAGAUGGAAGUGGUUGCGGGCUUGGGAGGUGCUCUCUUUAAUGAGACUUAGAAACUCAGCAUGCAGCAAAAAUAAAAUACCUAAUCUUGUUUCUCGUUAGGAUCCUCGUUGGCUUUGCACCAUUUUAACUGGAUUUGGCUGCAAAUGUACUCAAUAGAUUCCUGUUUGGGGGAAAGAUGGGAUUAAGCUUUUAAAAAUACUCGUAUUUCAAACCUUUUCAUUCCUUGACACGUUCUUCUUCCCCUCUUUUUACAUACGAAUAAAUUUCAAGAGAACAAAUGCUAAUGAGGGAUUUUUAAAAAAUAAGACCAAUCUUCAUGGAAUUUGCUAAUUUUACUGCCCAGCACGUUGUUUUCACCUUCUUCAAUUGCAAUUAUUGUGAAUUUUAAAUGUUCUCAUGCUUUUUAUUAAAAUAAAAUCAAAACCA